GAAGUAGAGAGGAUCCUGCAGAGAGCAGACAUAUGGCUCUGUUUCUGGGCAGGAGAGCCAAAUGCUUCACUGGCGCCUCUCCCUAGUACCAUGCCCACAUUCUCCAAAACUUCAAUAACUUUGCCAGGCCAUGGUGGAUAUCUGGCCUUCUCUGGACCCCCUACAUGGAAGUGAGCAGCAAAGUACAAAUCAGCGGUUUCCCGAGCAUGCGGAUUGCAGUGGAGUUGGGAGUCCAGCAGGGCUGCCCACUUCCCCUGAUCCUGUUCAUUUGCACCACCCAGCCGCUGGCCCAGCGCCUGAAGCAAGACCCAAAGAUACACGGAGUCCACAUCCCAGGAAGCAGCAACCAAGAGGCCAAGGUCCUGGUCUUCAUGGAUGAUCUGAACAUCCUGUGCCGGAACAGGGGUUUGGUCGAGAGAGACCUGGUACACAUGCAAGUAUACGAGACAGCAGCAGGAACCAAGCUGAACGUAAGCAAGGACCAACUUCCCUGGAAAACGAUCUACACUCUGAAUCUACCACUCUGUGCCUGA
This 533-nucleotide long non-coding RNA is filed under the name Crocodylus porosus (Australian saltwater crocodile). RNAcentral's name for it is "lncRNA (ENSCPRG00005019064.1)". The record is from RNAcentral. Lineage: Eukaryota; Metazoa; Chordata; Crocodylia; Crocodylidae.